CGAUGGGGCUAUAGCUCAGCUGGGAGAGCGCAUGCUUUGCACGCAGGAGGUCUGCGGUUCGAGCCCGCAUAGAUCGA
RNAcentral lists this transfer RNA (77 nucleotides) under Salmonella enterica subsp. enterica serovar Houston. Its description in RNAcentral is "tRNA-Ala". It matches the Rfam family "tRNA". Rfam says of the family: Transfer RNA (tRNA) molecules are approximately 80 nucleotides in length. Their secondary structure includes four short double-helical elements and three loops (D, anti-codon, and T loops). Lineage: Bacteria; Pseudomonadati; Pseudomonadota; Gammaproteobacteria; Enterobacterales; Enterobacteriaceae. The record is from RNAcentral.